This 405-nucleotide ribosomal RNA is filed under the name uncultured bacterium. RNAcentral's name for it is "partial 16S ribosomal RNA". It matches the Rfam family "Bacterial small subunit ribosomal RNA", at positions 29 to 526 of the family's 1533-position model. The record is from RNAcentral.
AUUGAACGCUGGCGGCAGGCCUAACACAUGCAAGUCGAACGAGUGGCGGACGGGUGAGUAAUGUCUGGGAAACUGCCUGAUGGAGGGGGAUAACUACUGGAAACGGUAGCUAAUACCGCAUACCAUCGGAUGUGCCCAGAUGGGAUUAGCUAGUAGGUGGGGAAAAGGCUCACCUCGGCGACGAUCCCUAGCUGGUCUGAGAGGAUGACAAGCCACACGGGAACUGAGACACGGUCCAGACCCCGAGGGGAGGCAGCAGGGGGGAAUAUUGCACAAUGGGGGCAAGCCUGAGGCAGCCAGGCCGGGUGUAUGAAGAAGGCCUUCGGGUGGUAAAGUACUUUCAGCGGGGAGGGGUUACCGGCAGAAGAAGCACCGGCUACCUCCUUGCCAGCACCGCGGUAAUAC